ACGCACGCUGGCGGCGUGCUUAACACCUGCAAGUCGAACGGAAAGGCCCCUUUGGGGGUCCUCGAGUGGCGAACGGGUGAGUAACACGUGAGUAACCUGCCCUUGACUUCGGGAUAACUUCAGGAAACUGGGGCUAAUACCGGAUAGGAAUCCUUGCUGCAUGGUGGGGGUUGGAAAGCUUCGGCGGUUUUGGAUGGACUCGCGGCUUAUCAGCUUGUUGGUGGGGUAGUGGCUUACCAAGGCUUUGACGGGUAGCCGGCCUGAGAGGGCGACCGGCCACAUUGGGACUGAGAUACGGCCCAGACUCCUACGGGAGGCAGCAGUGGGGAAUAUUGCACAAUGGGCGGAAGCCUGAUGCAGCAACGCCGCGUGCGGGAUGACGGCCUUCGGGUUGUAAACCGCUUUCAGCAGGGGCGAAGCUUGUGGUGACGGUACCUGCAGAAGAAGCACCGGCUAACUACGUG
RNAcentral lists this ribosomal RNA (464 nucleotides) under uncultured bacterium. RNAcentral's name for it is "partial 16S ribosomal RNA". It matches the Rfam family "Bacterial small subunit ribosomal RNA", at positions 29 to 507 of the family's 1533-position model. The record is from RNAcentral.